This 496-nucleotide ribosomal RNA is filed under the name uncultured bacterium. RNAcentral's name for it is "partial 16S ribosomal RNA". It matches the Rfam family "Bacterial small subunit ribosomal RNA", at positions 29 to 523 of the family's 1533-position model. The record is from RNAcentral.
AUUGAACGCUGGCGGCAUGCUUUACACAUGCAAGUCGAACGGUAGAGGGGGCAACCCCUUGAGAGUGGCGAACGGGUGAGUAAUGCAUCGGAACGUGCCCAGUCGUGGGGGAUAACGCAGCGAAAGCUGUGCUAAUACCGCAUACGAUCUCUGGAUGAAAGCGGGGGACCGAAAGGCCUCGCGCGAUUGGAGCGGCCGAUGUCAGAUUAGGGAGUUGGUGGGGUAAAGGCCUACCAAGCCAACGAUCUGUAGCUGGUCUGAGAGGACGACCAGCCACACUGGGACUGAGACACGGCCCAGACUCCUACGGGAGGCAGCAGUGGGGAAUUUUGGACAAUGGGCGCAAGCCUGAUCCAGCAAUGCCGCGUGCAGGAAGAAGGCCUUCGGGUUGUAAAGGACUUUUGUCCGGGAGCAAAUGCCUGGUGUUAAUAGCAUCGGGAGCUGAGAGUACCGGAAGAAUAAGCACCGGCUAACUACGUGCCAGCCGCCGCGGUAA